UACGUAGGGAGCAAGCGUUGUCCGGAAUCAUUGGGCGUAAAGCGCGCGUAGGCGGCCCCGUAAGUCCGCUGUGAAAGUCAAAGGCUCAACCUUUGAAAGCCGGUGGAUACUGUGGGGCUAGAGUACGGAAGAGGCGAGUGGAAUUCCUGGUGUAGCGGUGGAAUGCGCAGAUAUCAGGAGGAACACCAAUAGCGAAGGCAGCUCGCUGGGACGUUACUGACGCUGAGGUGCGAAAGCGUGGGGAGCAAACAGG
RNAcentral lists this ribosomal RNA (253 nucleotides) under uncultured bacterium. RNAcentral's name for it is "partial 16S ribosomal RNA". It matches the Rfam family "Bacterial small subunit ribosomal RNA", at positions 524 to 776 of the family's 1533-position model. The record is from RNAcentral.